UAUGCACGUCUUUAUGGCUUUUUCCCUACUAGCAUGUGCUUGCUUCAGCUAAAAGGAAAAAAAAAGAGCAAGAUAGAUGCAACAAGGACCCCCAAAUCAUAUAUUGCUACUCUACUGGCAGACGAACCCUCCUUGUUCCUUCCAGGGUCUCCACUUGAAUUUGUCAAAAGCGGAGAUGGACCUGCCGAUCUGCAUUCAUUCUAUGAAAGAGCACAACUGAGAUAGAAGAAUUUGUUGCUGAGCUGAAGUGGUACAUUAUUGAUUGGAACUUCAGUCUUUUAUAAGUUGACUGCAAGGCCGAAAUGGUGCGCUGCCCGAGUAUAGUCCAGGUAGAGACACUUUGUUCCUGGUGUACCAACAAAAUGCAUGACAUCACAUAUCACAUUUCCAUUUUGAUUGCAGUAAUCUUUAUCCUCCGAGUAAUUCUGCCAGAUUCUGAUCUGUGUAGGUGUUGUGCCAGGAAAUGAUUCUAAACUACCCAAGCUCAUUUCACCUAGGUCUAUUAAGCCAAGUAGUCUUUCAUUUCAUCAGAAUUUAAACAAAGGUUUUGUGGAUGCAAGGACUUUUCUUUGAAGGCUUAAUUAAAUACCAAUGAAAUGAAAGCUGGCUACUACUGUUAAAAGAUCAAAUGUCUCAUAGAUAGGACUUGGACUAUUCAAACAUAGCACCUGAGGCCCAUGCUUUACAGUGGAAAUAUAUAUGGAAUUCCUCAGCUUACAAUGCAAAACACAUACACUUUAAUAUGAAUAUGCGGGCUAAUGUUCACGGCAAUUCUACUUUAGGCCCAGUUUACUUUUAUAAAGCAUGUGCUAACCAGAAAGAUAUUAACCAAUACUUGCUAAAGAAAUUAACAGGCAUCAACUAACGUGACCAACAGUAUAACCAGCUUAUUAAAGAAAAACACGCAAACCACAUAUUUAAACCCAACCCAGAUAUAACUCAGUGAAACAUCCUGGAGUGUCAUUUUAAAGUGGAUAAUUUAAAAGCUGUGUUACAAAUGCAAAGUUUAUAAGAUUGUUAUGUUUUGGGGCUGUCUCUUUAAUUCAAGGUAAAAUGGAGGAAUAAAAGGGAUGUGACCUGCUCUGAAUUCUGCUCAACAAGAAGUCUGGGUGGCUUGGUUGCUAUGGGUACAAGAGGGGCUCAAGUCAUGAGACUUGCUGAGAAGGCAAAAGAUAUUCACACCUGCUGACAACGGCAAGAGGAUAUGUGCUGACUGUGCGCAGACUGUUAGUCUCCAAGUCGCAGAGUGUGUGUUAUGAAUGUCAGGUUUUAUAAACCGUUAUACUUUAAACUGUAUAUUUAAUUCCAAACUGGAAUGGAGUAGGGAGUCUAGAGGACAGCUUAUUAGCAUUUCUACCUGGAUACAAGGUCCAUGAUAUUCAUGUUGCCAUGGAGAUGGGCUUUGGGAACGGAAGGAUCCAUAGGAAGCUAUUGUAAUAUCAUGUUACAGGGUUUCCUAAGCUAUCACUGAACCUGAUGUACCCAAGUCAGUCAUUUGAGAGGUGGAGAGCAGGAGAUAGAGGCAGCUAGCCCUAUACUUGAAGCACAGAAAAUGUGAGCCUAUUGUUUACCACACAGAAUUCUGGUGGGAGCUUGCACUCAGAUUGAAGAAAUCAAAUUCCUGAGGAUUUAAAGAAGGUUGGAAGAUCCACAUAGCUUGGGCUAGGAGGAAGGAAUCUCCAGUUUAACCCUCACAGUGGAAGUCAGUUUUGGGAUUACAAGUUACCCAGCUGGAAAAGGACAAAGGAAGCAGACCAUCAGGAGCAAUGAAUAGCUUUGGACUGGUUCCGGGAGAAGAAAGAGUCCAUUUAAAUGAUAGUGUAAAGUAUAACCAUGGCAAGGGAUUUUUGUUUUAAUAAUUAAACGGGGAAACUUUUGUGUAGAUUAGAGUAUAUGACUAAAUGCUAAUUUUUGUAGGUGAAUGUUACCUUCAAAAUGUUUAUUGUAGUAAAAUUGUUUAUUAUAGUAAAAGGCUUAAAACUUGAAAUUUUGUCUUAUGAUCUUUUCAAUCGGUCACUGGAAUUCAAUUUUAAAAAGUUAUUGAUCUCUAUGGAGAGCAUAACAGCUGCAGUUCAUAAAAUUUUAAUUGGGGUUUCAGAGUGUUCCAAAACACAUCUCUCUUUCCAGGUCAUGUACCUCUACAAUCUGUUGGAUAUCGCUCAUCCAAAAUGAUUAAAUUAUUAAAUGUAGGUUAUGCAGUCUAGUGGUUGUUUAAGCAAUACAAUCAGAAUUUGGAUUUAUUACCUGGUAAGGAAACGAAAUUGAGAAAGUAUAAUGAAACUCCCUUGUCUGUAAUGUGAGUUCACAGAUUGCAGGAGUUCACAAUAAUUGCAGAUUCCUGUAAUUGUUGACUUUCUGACAUGUUAUUUUUAUUGUUGCAUACUAAUAAUAAUACAAAUAAAAAGCAUUUUUGAAAUGGGAA
Carcharodon carcharias (great white shark) is the source of this 2422-nucleotide long non-coding RNA. RefSeq lists it as uncharacterized. The record is from RefSeq and is a predicted model, not a curated record. The transcript has 2 exons. Lineage: Eukaryota; Metazoa; Chordata; Chondrichthyes; Lamniformes; Lamnidae.